AGCAGCAUGGCGCAGUGGUAGCGCGCGGGGCCCAUAACGGUCACCCCGAGGUCACUUGAUCGAAACAAGUUGCUGCUA
This is a non-coding RNA of Armillaria borealis, 78 nucleotides long. The record is from the annotation of a GenBank genome assembly. NCBI's taxonomy places the organism in Eukaryota, Fungi, Basidiomycota, Agaricomycetes, Agaricales, Physalacriaceae.